RNAcentral lists this ribosomal RNA (468 nucleotides) under uncultured bacterium. Its description in RNAcentral is "bacterial SSU rRNA". It matches the Rfam family "Bacterial small subunit ribosomal RNA", at positions 328 to 794 of the family's 1533-position model. The record is from RNAcentral.
GUUCCAGACUCCUACGGGAGGCAGCAGUGAGGAAUAUUGGUCAAUGGCCGGAAGGCUGAACCAGCCAAGCCGCGUGAAGGACGAAGGUGCCAAGCAUUGUAAACUUCUUUUGUCAAGGGACAAAAUCAGGCUCGAGAGCCUGACCGAGGGUACUUGAAGAAAAAGCAUCGGCUAACUCUGUGCCAGCAGCCGCGGUAAUACGUAGGGAGCGAGCGUUGUCCGGAAUUACUGGGUGUAAAGGGAGCGUAGGCGGGCGAGAAAGUUGAAUGUUAAAUCUACCGGCUUAACUGGUAGCUGCGUUCAAAACUUCUUGUCUUGAGUGAAGUAGAGGCAGGCGGAAUUCCUAGUGUAGCGGUGAAAUGCGUAGAUAUUAGGAGGAACACCAGUGGCGAAGGCGGCCUGCUGGGCUUUAACUGACGCUGAGGCUCGAAAGCGUGGGGAGCAAACAGGAUUAGAUACCCGCGUAGU